GAUGAACGCUGGCGGCGUGCCUAAUACAUGCAAGUCGAGCGAACGGACGAGAAGCUUGCUUCUCUGAUGUUAGCGGCGGACGGGUGAGUAACACGUGGAUAACCUACCUAUAAGACUGGGAUAACUUCGGGAAACCGGAGCUAAUACCGGAUGAUAUUUUGAACCGCAUGGUUCAAAAGUGAAAGACGGUCUUGCUGUCACUUAUAGAUGGAUCCGCGCUGCAUUAGCUAGUUGGUAAGGUAACGGCUUACCAAGGCAACGAUGCAUAGCCGACCUGAGAGGGUGAUCGGCCACACUGGAACUGAGACACGGUCCAGACUCCUACGGGAGGCAGCAGUAGGGAAUCUUCCGCAAUGGGCGAAAGCCUGACGGAGCAACGCCGCGUGAGUGAUGAAGGUCUUCGGAUCGUANAACUCUGUUAUUAGGGAAGAACAUAUGUGUAAGUAACUGUGCACAUCUUGACGGUACCUAAUCAGAAAGCCACGGCUAACUACGUGCCAGCAGCCGCGGUAAUACGUAGGUGGCAAGCGUUAUCCGGAAUUAUUGGGCGUAAAGCGCGCGUAGGCGGUUUUUUAAGUCUGAUGUGAAAGCCCACGGCUCAACCGUGGAGGGUCAUUGGAAACUGGAAAACUUGAGUGCAGAAGAGGAAAGUGGAAUUCCAUGUGUAGCGGUGAAAUGCGCAGAGAUAUGGAGGAACACCAGUGGCGAAGGCGACUUUCUGGUCUGUAACUGACGCUGAUGUGCGAAAGCGUGGGGAUCAAACAGGAUUAGAUACCCUGGUAGUCCACGCCGUAAACGAUGAGUGCUAAGUGUUAGGGGGUUUCCGCCCCUUAGUGCUGCAGCUAACGCAUUAAGCACUCCGCCUGGGGAGUACGACCGCAAGGUUGAAACUCAAAGGAAUUGACGGGGACCCGCACAAGCGGUGGAGCAUGUGGUUUAAUUCGAAGCAACGCGAAGAACCUUACCAAAUCUUGACAUCCUUUGACAACUCUAGAGAUAGAGCCUUCCCCUUCGGGGGACAAAGUGACAGGUGGUGCAUGGUUGUCGUCAGCUCGUGUCGUGAGAUGUUGGGUUAAGUCCCGCAACGAGCGCAACCCUUAAGCUUAGUUGCUAUCAUUAAGUUGGGCACUCUAAGUUGACUGCCGGUGACAAACCGGAGGAAGGUGGGGAUGACGUCAAAUCAUCAUGCCCCUUAUGAUUUGGGCUACACACGUGCUACAAUGGACAAUACAAAGGGCAGCGAAACCGCGAGGUCAAGCAAAUCCCAUAAAGUUGUUCUCAGUUCGGAUUGUAGUCUGCAACUCGACUACAUGAAGCUGGAAUCGCUAGUAAUCGUAGAUCAGCAUGCUACGGUGAAUACGUUCCCGGGUCU
This 1372-nucleotide ribosomal RNA is filed under the name uncultured bacterium. Its description in RNAcentral is "bacterial SSU rRNA". It matches the Rfam family "Bacterial small subunit ribosomal RNA", at positions 28 to 1381 of the family's 1533-position model. The record is from RNAcentral.